RNAcentral lists this ribosomal RNA (403 nucleotides) under Fusobacteriota bacterium. RNAcentral describes it as "Fusobacteria bacterium partial 16S ribosomal RNA". It matches the Rfam family "Bacterial small subunit ribosomal RNA", at positions 355 to 776 of the family's 1533-position model. Lineage: Bacteria; Fusobacteriati; Fusobacteriota. The record is from RNAcentral.
UGGGGAAUAUUGCACAAUGGAGGGAACUCUGAUGCAGCGACGCCGCGAGAACGAAGAAGGCUUUCGAGUCGUAAAGUUCUUUUAUAUGGGAAGAUAAUGACGGUACCAUAAGAAAAAGCCCCGGCUAACUACGUGCCAGCAGCCGCGGUAAUACGUAGGGGGCGAGCGUUGUCCGGAAUCACUGGGCGUAAAGGGUUCGCAGGCGGAAAUGCAAGUCAGGUGUAAAAGGCAGUAGCUUAACUACUGUAAGCAUUUGAAACUGCAUAUCUUGAGAAGAGUAGAGGUAAGUGGAAUUUUUAGUGUAGCGGUGAAAUGCGUAGAUAUUAAAAAGACUACCGGUGGCGAAGGCGACUUACUGGGCUCAUUCUGACGCUGAGGAACGAAAGCGUGGGUAGCAAACAGG